This 494-nucleotide ribosomal RNA is filed under the name uncultured bacterium. Its description in RNAcentral is "partial 16S ribosomal RNA". It matches the Rfam family "Bacterial small subunit ribosomal RNA", at positions 29 to 507 of the family's 1533-position model. The record is from RNAcentral.
ACGCACGCUGGCGGCGUGCCUAAUACAUGCAAGUAGAACGCUGAAGGAGGAGCUUGCUUCUCUGGAUGAGUUGCGAACGGGUGAGUAACGCGUAGGUAACCUGCCUGGUAGCGGGGGAUAACUAUUGGAAACGAUAGCUAAUACCGCAUAAUAGCAGUUAUUGCAUGAUAACUGUUUGAAAGGUGCAAUUGCACCACUACCAGAUGGACCUGCGUUGUAUUAGCUAGUUGGUGGGGUAACGGCUCACCAAGGCGACGAUACAUAGCCGACCUGAGAGGGUGAUCGGCCACACUGGGACUGAGACACGGCCCAGACUCCUACGGGAGGCAGCAGUAGGGAAUCUUCGGCAAUGGACGGAAGUCUGACCGAGCAACGCCGCGUGAGUGAAGAAGGUUUUCGGAUCGUAAAGCUCUGUUGUAAGAGAAGAACGAGUGUGAGAGUGGAAAGUUCACACUGUGACGGUAUCUUACCAGAAAGGGACGGCUAACUACGUG